CAAUACAUAACUUUUACCCUAAAAAUUAGGAUAUAUUUAUUGCCCUUAAAAGUUUGUCUUAGUAUCUUCUCUUCACCAAUUUAAUAAUAUUAACACCCUAUCCCAACAAACAACAAUACAUUAACCCAUUCCGAUCAAGACAACAACGGCGCAUCCAUCGAAGAAACAAGAAACGAUGAUUUUACAGAGUAUUCAUCGGAGAAACAAGAAAUGACGGCAGUAUACGGUGUCUCCGAUCAUCGUCAAUCAUUAAACCAGCAAACAACGAUUCAAUAAGCAGCUGAGAAUGAAACUCUGUGAACUCCGUUAAACUAUUCCAUCGAAGAUUAGAGAAUCUGACACUUCUAGACGAAAAGGUGUUGUUUCGAAAAGAAAAUAUGUUGAAGACAUAACGAG
This 396-nucleotide long non-coding RNA is filed under the name Capsicum annuum. RNAcentral describes it as "long non-coding RNA (CANN_LNC006757)". The record is from RNAcentral. Lineage: Eukaryota; Viridiplantae; Streptophyta; Magnoliopsida; Solanales; Solanaceae.